CCUACGGGAGGCAGCAGUGGGGAAUAUUGGACAAUGGGGGGAACCCUGAACCAGCGACGCCGCGUGAGUGAAGAAGUCUUUCGGUAUGUAAAGCUCUAUCAGCAGGGAAGAAAAUGACGGUACCUGACUAAGAAUCCCUGGCUAAUUACGUGCCAGCAGCCGCGGUAAUACGUAGGCGGCAAGCGUUAUCCGGAUUUACUGGGUGUAAAGGGAGCGUAGACGGUGCAGCAAGUCUGUUGUGAAAGUUCGGGGCCCAACCCCGGGAUUGCAUUUGAAACUGUAAAACUUGAGUACAGGAGAGGUAAGCGGAAUUCCUGGUGUAGCGGUGAAAUGCGUAGAUAUUAGGAGGAACACCAGUGGCGAAGGCGGCUUACUGGACUGUAACUGACGUUGAGGCUCGAAAGCGUGGGGAGCAAACAGGAUUAGAUACCCUAGUAGUC
This 440-nucleotide ribosomal RNA is filed under the name uncultured bacterium. RNAcentral describes it as "partial 16S ribosomal RNA". It matches the Rfam family "Bacterial small subunit ribosomal RNA", at positions 338 to 795 of the family's 1533-position model. The record is from RNAcentral.